This 371-nucleotide ribosomal RNA is filed under the name uncultured organism. RNAcentral's name for it is "partial 16S ribosomal RNA". It matches the Rfam family "Bacterial small subunit ribosomal RNA", at positions 527 to 896 of the family's 1533-position model. The record is from RNAcentral.
GGGGGGGGCAAGCGUUGUUCGGAAUUACUGGGCGUAAAGGGCGCGCAGGCGGGCGGGACAGUCUCUCGUGAAAUCCCACGGCUCAACCGUGGAAUUGCGGGAGAUACUACUCGUCUUGAGUCCGGGAGAGGAGUGUGGAAUUCCCAGUGUAGCGGUGAAAUGCGUAGAUAUUGGGAGGAACACCGGUGGCGAAGGCGGCACUCUGGACCGGUACUGACGCUGAGGCGCGAAAGCUAGGGGAGCAAACGGGAUUAGAUACCCCGGGUAGUCCUAGCUGUAAACGAUGAGCACUUGGUGUAGCGGGUAUCGACCCCUGCUGUGCCGAAGCUAACGCAUUAAGUGCUCCGCCUGGGGAUACGGUCGCAAGGCUG